This 253-nucleotide ribosomal RNA is filed under the name uncultured bacterium. Its description in RNAcentral is "partial 16S ribosomal RNA". It matches the Rfam family "Bacterial small subunit ribosomal RNA", at positions 524 to 776 of the family's 1533-position model. The record is from RNAcentral.
UACGUAGGGGGCAAGCGUUGUCCGGAAUCAUUGGGCGUAAAGAGCGUGUAGGCGGCCAGAAAAGUCCGCUGUGAAAACUCGAGGCUCAACUUCGAGCUGUCGGUGGAAACUUUCUGGCUAGAGUCCGGAAGAGGAGAAUGGAAUUCCUGGUGUAGCGGUGAGAUGCGCAGAUAUCAGGAAGAACACCCGUGGCGAAGGCGGUUCUCUGGGACGGUACUGACGCUGAGACGCGAAAGCGUGGGGAGCGAACAGG